ACCUAAAAUGACUCUCGGCAACGGAUAUCUCGGCUCUUGCAUCGAUGAAGAACGUAGCGAAAUGCGAUACUUGGUGUGAAUUGCAGAAUCCCGUGAACCAUCGAGUCUUUGAACGCAAGUUGCGCCCGAAGCCAUUAGGCUGAGGGCACGCCUGCCUGGGUGUCACACA
Molecule: ribosomal RNA, 169 nt
Filed under: Andira legalis
Lineage: Eukaryota; Viridiplantae; Streptophyta; Magnoliopsida; Fabales; Fabaceae
Description: 5.8S ribosomal RNA
Rfam family: 5.8S ribosomal RNA
About the family: 5.8S ribosomal RNA (5.8S rRNA) is a component of the large subunit of the eukaryotic ribosome.
Source: RNAcentral